AAUCCAACAGGAAGAAAUAAUUGAACUGGAACGUGAGUAUAAUGUGAAACAAACGUAGCAGCUACGGUUACGUUUAUCACGUUACAGAUUUGGCGAGAUUUUCGAAGUAGAAAGAGCAGGUUCUCACAGUAAGUCGUGAAGAAUUAUGACUUUAGAAUUGCAUUGGUAAUUUUACAGUCGAAUGAGAGAGCACUUCCUUACGACACCGGGACUAAUGAAGAAAAAAUGAAAACCGACAGAGCGGUAGUGUUGAAGCGGCACGUUAAGGUGCAUUCACAGUUGUUACUUUACUCGUUACACACAUUAUACACAAUAUUUAGUGGUAUACGAAAUUCGACGUAGGAUUCUAUUUCUAAAUUCUUUUACGUUUGCUGAUACUCAUGCACUUAACUCAUCAAUUUUAGUGCAUCGCGUUGUUGAACAGACGACAGUCAGAGACACUUGAAGACUCUUAACACCCGAAGAUGUCCAAAAGAUAGCAUGUUAAACUUUCAUCAAAGCGGACCAGUUCACCGACAAUCGGUUGAACCAAGUAACAAGUCACGAUAUUACAAACAACAAAACACCAUUCACAUUUCCUAGCAUGACACGAUAGUACCAAGGUAUAGGUAACAAAUCUGGACGCACCUUUACGAGUCCGAGGGUGAUCUCGUUUAUAUUCUUUGAGUGAUUUAUGGACAAACUGCUGCAACUCCGUCUACUUCACCUCUAUUCACCUCGUUAGAAAGGAUAAUGUAUUCAUGAAUGGUCGGACUCGUUCCCUGACGCGUUGCCGUGAACUUCUAAACUCGACAAGGAAAGUGUAUAUAUAUAUAUAUAUAUAUAUAUAUAUAUAUAUAACCGACUGGAGCAACCUUUAAAUCGAAUCGGCCUAUAUACCUCUUCGUGACUGUUAUUACGAAGACUGUGUUGUCAUUUUUUUCUCUGUGUUGUCGGCAUGUUCUGAAUUUCCAUCUAGAAGUCAAGGAGCUUUCUCUUUUUCGAAUUUUCGGAAAUGAAAUAUUUAUUAUUAUUAAAUAUUUAUUAUCGAAGUGAAUGUAUGCGUUUUAAAUGGGAACGGUGUAGAAUUAUUUUGAGGUUAUGUUUCUAUAUUUCUGUUUCUUAUAUUUUGAGGUUAUUUAUACUUCUAGUGAAAGUCAAAGUAUGCCUCGAUCUAAUGUGGAACAAUUUUUAGAUAUUAAUUCUUUUAUAGACAAUCGUUUAAUUCCGCUUUAAUCCUUCAAUUUUCUACAAUUAAGUCAUAUAAUAACCGACAGGAGGAUAAACCCAGGGCUUUCGGAUUUAAAGGCGGGCGUAAAGAGAAGAAAUCUCUCUAGAAUUCGUUAUCGUGGAUCAGACCGGGGCGGUAUUUUCUUUUUCAUGGUGGAACGAGCGAGCGUUGUUUCCUGUCUGUCAGUUUCUGUCGAUUAGUCGCGUCUAGUAGCGGCGCGUAACGUCCCAUUCGGAGCGCAGGAAGAAAGAGGCUUUGGAGUCGACGUGAAGGCAAAGCGAGACAAGGCGAGACAAGGCAAGGCAAGGCAAGGCGAGUGGCUUGUCAAGAGCUUCCUUCCGGCGACGCAGUGUGUUACGAAGGUAUGGGCGUCGGCGAGAGAAACGAACGCUCGCCGAAGGGUGCUUCAAACGAAUUAGUUGGCGCCAGAAAACUCGUCGGACCUUCAUCCAAACGAUCUUCGAGUCGAGCCGACGUGGGUGUCUGGCGUGGAUUUCUUUUCCCGAAGUUGCAAAAGCGCGGCAAGAAAGAAAGCAACGAACCUUUCGGAGAGAGAGAUUGCACUGCCGGUGUACAGGGGACCUGGUAACCCGUGGCACGGUGUAACCGUGUAUAGGUGUAGAGCAAAAGGAAGACAAACGACGCGUCAACGGAGCUCAAGUAGAAGAGAUUAGUCCCGGGGAUGAUGAACGGCCGACGAAAAACCGCGGGAUGUGUCAUACCAUUUCAAUUUUGCGUGGCAGUCAACAAUAGAAGUUGACGAUAGAAGUCGAAGACUUUUGGAAAGGUGAGCGUUAAGUGUUGGUAACUGUGUAAGAAUUUUUAGCGUUGGAUAUAUUUUAUAUAUCCAAAUGUAUUCAGUGUAUA
Molecule: RNA transcript, 2077 nt
Organism: Frieseomelitta varia
Lineage: Eukaryota; Metazoa; Arthropoda; Insecta; Hymenoptera; Apidae
Exons: 4
Source: RefSeq, a predicted model, not a curated record